UACAGAGGGGGCAAGCGUUGUUCGGAAUUACUGGGCGUAAAGGGCGCGUAGGCGGCCUUCUAAGUCAGACGUGAAAUCCCCAAGCUUAACUUGGGAACUGCAUCCGAUACUGGAUGGCUUGAAUCCGGGAGAGGGAUGCAGAAUUCCAGGUGUAGCGGUGAAAUGCGUAGAUAUCUGGAGGAAUACCGGUGGCGAAGGCGGCAUCCUGGACCGGCAUUGACGCUGAGGAGCGAAAGCUAGGGGAGCAAACGGG
This 253-nucleotide ribosomal RNA is filed under the name uncultured bacterium. RNAcentral's name for it is "partial 16S ribosomal RNA". It matches the Rfam family "Bacterial small subunit ribosomal RNA", at positions 524 to 776 of the family's 1533-position model. The record is from RNAcentral.